Panthera uncia (snow leopard) is the source of this 5044-nucleotide RNA transcript. It is a transcript of the gene named zinc finger protein 140, with no coding region annotated. The record is from RefSeq and is a predicted model, not a curated record. Lineage: Eukaryota; Metazoa; Chordata; Mammalia; Carnivora; Felidae. The transcript has 5 exons.
GGACGGCCCGCGCGCUCAGGGCUGCCUUUUCUCGCUGCCAGCUGUGCCGUUUCCCCCUGCGCUCCUCGGUCCCGCCGCGAGCCAUGUCUCAGGUGAGCUGCUUCCUUUUUUCUUUCCCAGGGCAUCUGUGUGCUUCAGGACUGGGGGACAGAGGCUGGCUUUCUCCGGAAGCGCCCUGCUCUGGUCCUCUCCUUCGGGCACCUGGACCUGAGGGGACGUGGGAAGGUUGACGGAAGCUGUCCGGUUGUGGGCGGGUUUCGGACCUGGGGGAAGGUCGGGAGCCGGCGGGGGAGGGGGCGGGUGUGUUAGGUCACCUCUUCCUCCUUUUCCCAGUGUUAGAAUGAGGAGUGCUUUACUCUGUCCCUCGCUCCAGCUACCCCUUUCUCAGUCGUACAUAUUAAAGUUUGUUUAUUUUUGAGAGAGGGAGAGAGGAAAUCCCAAGCAGGCUCCUCGUUGUCAGCGCAGUCAGAAGUGGGGCUCCAUCCCAGGAACCGUGAGAUCAUGACCUGAACCCAAAUCGAGAGUCAGAUCCUUAACCGGCUGAGCCACCCGACUGCCCCAGUCAUAUUCUAAUUAAGCAUGUACUUUCAGCACCUGUGUCAGUGGUCUCAAAGUGGAAUUCCUGGACCAGCAGUAUCCGCAUCACGUGAGAACUUACUAGAAGCGUAUAGUCAUGAGCUCCCUUCCCAUACCUUCUGAACCAGAAACUCUGGGUGUGCAGUUCAACAGUCACUCCCAAGUGACUCUGAUGCGUGACCCAUCCUGGGUGUGGGGGGUUCAGCUGGGGCAAACAAAAUCUCUGGCAGUUGUUUCACAGAGGUGGGGGUAAGAAGGCCAACUGUUUGAUUUAGUUCCUGUUUUUAGUUCUACUUCUCUGCCCUACAUACAUUGUCUCAUGCUUGUCUCCAAAUCCAGAUGCUCUCCCAAAUUUGCUGGGGAGUCCAGUUUCCAUCUGUGCUGCAGAUUCCGUUGUUGAGAAAAUAGCUUCCUUUACUAGUCAGUAACCUUUAUCGCUUAAACCUUUUUUUUUUUUAACUGUAAGAUACAACUGCCAUGCAUCUGGAGCUCUUACUAGUUUGACCCCUUUUAAAAUUUCUGCUCAUGCUUAAUGCUUCUGUGGGUUACUGAAGCAGUGCAAAAGCAGGCCGUGAAGUGGGGGCACAUUAUUACUCCUAACCCUGAGGGGAAAGCUUUUGGUUCCAUUCUGGGAUGGGGGACAUGUCUUCCUUGGGUAGUCUUUCUUACUGCGUAUCCUUGUUCUGUGACACUGCUUACAUCGCCGGUAAGUUUCGUAGCCCUUUUUUCAGGAAUGGCGCUAACCGUGUUGCCCUUGAGUGCAUGCCCCUUUUUAAAGGUACUGCUGCUGUCUGCUGUAGCCGGUUGUUACCAUGAAGAUAUUCUUGCUGGAUCUCAUUAAAAUAGGCUGCUAUUAAGGAAAAUAUACACUGCCUACUGAAUACAAAGGGACUGACUUUGUUAUUCGUUAAGUGUUCUAAGAGUCUAAGAACUUGAACAACAAAAGGCAGAAAUCCAUGUUGUUCGUGUGUAUAAUCCUUUAUCUUUCACAAAAUUGUAAAUUAUGUCAGGACAAAUUUUAUUUAUUUUUUUCCUUUUCUCCAAUUAUGCAAUAAAACAAAACAGCUAGGCUCUUACUAAUUAGAAUUCUGAAAACCCCCAUUGCUACUCUGUGCAUACACUGUCUACUCUCCAUGGUGAGACUCAUUUCACUCCUAAUCAGGGCCUUUGGGAGCAUGGGUGCUGGUUGUGCAGAUAUCUGUAUAUCAUUUCAGGGGUCAGUGACAUUCAGAGAUGUGGCCAUAGACUUCUCCCAGGAGGAGUGGGAAUGGCUUCAGCCUACUCAAAGAGAUUUGUACAGACAUGUGAUGUUGGAGAACUACAGCCACCUGGUUUCACUGGGUCUUAACAUUUCUAAGCCAUAUGUGGUUUCCUUAUUGGAGCAAGGCAAAGAGCCCUGGUUGGAGAAAAGAGGUGUGAGAAGAGAUCUGUUUUCAGAACCAAAUCGUGAGGUCAAAGAGUUUUCUCGAAAAAAUGUCAUUUAUGAAGAUGACUCACCCCAGUGUUUGGUAGUGGGAAGAAUUCUAAGCCAUGGCCCUGAAUAUUCCAGUUUUAAAGGAGGCUGGAAAUUCGAGGAAGAUACUCAGAUGCAAGGAAAUCGGGGGUGUAUCCGGCAAGGAACAGUGUCUCAUCAGGGAGCCCUGUCUCAGCACACGAGUAUCAAUACCGUGGAGAGGCCCCAUGGAUGUCAUGAAUGUGGGAAGACUUUCAGUCGGCGCUUUUCCCUUGUGCUACAUCAGAGAACUCAUACUGGAGAGAAACCAUACGUGUGUAAGGAAUGUGGCAAAACCUUUAGCCAGAUCUCAAACCUUGUGAAACAUCAGAUGAUACAUACUGGAAAGAAACCCCAUGAGUGUAAGGACUGUAAUAAAACAUUCAGUUAUCUCUCAUUCCUCAUUGAACACCAGAGAACACAUACUGGGGAGAAACCCUAUGAAUGUACUGAAUGUGGAAAGGCCUUUAGCCGUGCCUCAAACCUCACUCGACAUCAGAGAAUUCAUAUAGGAAAGAAACAGUAUAUAUGUAGGAAAUGUGGGAAAGCCUUUAGCAGUGGCUCAGAGCUCAUUCGCCAUCAGAUUACACAUACCGGAGAGAAACCUUAUGAAUGCAUUGAAUGUGGGAAGGCAUUUCGCCGUUCUUCACACCUUACUCGGCAUCAGAGCAUCCAUACUACCAAAACCCCCUAUGAAUGUAAUGAGUGUAGGAAAGCCUUCCGAUGCCACUCAUUCCUUAUUAAACAUCAGAGAAUUCAUGCUGGAGAAAAGCUCUAUGAGUGCGAUGACUGUGGUAAAGUUUUCACGUGGCAUGCAUCCCUUAUGCAACAUAUGAAAAUUCAUACUGGAGAAAAGCCCUAUGCUUGUACCGAAUGUGAUAAAACCUUUAGCCGGAGCUUUUCCCUCAUUCUACAUCAGAUAACUCACACUGGGGAGAAGCCCUAUGUAUGUAAGUUUUGCAAUAAGUCCUUCAGCUGGAGCUCAAACCUUGCCAAACAUCAGAGAACACACACUCUAGAGAACCCUUAUGAAUAUGAGAAUUCAUUUCAUUAUCACUCGUUCCUUACUGAACACAAAGGAAUUCACGCUAUAGAGAAAACAUAAGAAUAUGGAUUAGGAAAAGCAAACAGUUAAUGCCUUAACUUUGACUUCAGAGGAUUCUUGGGAAGAAGCCUUAUGUGAAUAUGUUCAAUGUGAAGAAAAAUGGGUCAUACUUGAUUCAACAUCCUGGAGAAAAAAUAACCUAGGAAUAUGUGGGAAAGCCAUUAAUAGCUUUGCAUUCUUUUUGUAAUAUCAGAAGAUGAAAUCAGUCAAUACUGAGAAGCCUUCAUCUGGACUCUGUUUCUAAAUCAAAUGUGACCUCCUUACUGGAGCAAGGGAAAGAAUCAAAGAAUGAUGGAGAAAAAAUGAUAAGAGGCCUCUGAUCAGGUAAGUGUGGGGCAAUCAGGCAGGGAGCACCUUUGCAGGUAGUGGCCCAGCUUACCAAAUUGCCUGAAUCAUUCUUUCAAAAAUAACAAUUUGCCCAUAAAAUUCCCUUCAUGCAACAUCAUCCUGAACUAUGUAACUCAUCCUAAAGGUAUUCUCGUCAAUUUGUGGUUGAGAUAGUUCAGAAAAUAAGAACUAUGCCAUUAUUUUUAAUUAAAUUUAAAUACGUAGUUUCUAGAUUAUACAAUAAGAGAUGUCAAGACACUACUAAGUAAGAAAGAAAGUGAAUGGUUUGUGGGAAUUCUGUUAUACAGUAUGUUUUAUUUGUCAUAGCAAGAAGGUGCUAGCAAGGUUCAUAGUUGCUUUCUUUCUCAAUUUUAGCACACAAAUCUGUUACAUCUUUCCAUAUUUAACAUAAUCACUUUUUGUAAGCUGUAGUGCUUUCCAAUGGUAGCGGAAACCCAAAAAAGAAAGUUGCCUGUUUUUCAAGGAGAAAUCCUGUAAAAAUAGCCAGACACACUAAGAUAAACAGCAAACAGUAGGAGAAAAACGCAUGGAUGAUACUGCACUUUACUUAUUUUUUGUAAUGUUUCUUUUUGAGAGAGACAGAGCAUGAGCGGGGGAGAGGCAGAGAGAGAGGGAGACACAGCAUCUGAAGCAGGCUCCAGGCUUUGAGCUGUCUGCACAGGACCCGACGCGGGGCUCGAACCCACAAACUAUGAGGAGUUGCUUCUUAUCAAUGAGCAAAGAAGGUGGUUCCUUGAGAUGGGAUCUAGUCUUGGUGAAGAUGCCGUGAAGAUUGUGGAAACGGCAAAGGAUUUAAAUUAUUACAUAAACUUAGUUGACAAAGCAGUGGCAGGAUUUGAGAGCACUGACUCUAAUUUUGAAGGAAAUUCUACUCUGGGUAUAAAGCUAUCAAACAGCAUCAUGUGCUAUAGAGAAAUCAUUCUUGAAAGGAAGAGUCAAUUGAUGGGUCAAACUUCUUUAUCUUAAGAAAUUGCCACAGCCACCCCAGCCUUCAGCAACGACCACCCUGAUCAGUCAGCAGCCAUCAACAGCAAGGCAAGAUCCUCUACCAGCAAAAAGACUAUGAGUCACUGAAGGCCCAAGUGGUGGUUGGCAUUUUUUUUUAGCAAUAAAGUAUUUUAAAAACUAAGGUGUGUGGUUUUUUUAAAUAGAAAUGAACAAUAUAGCACACUUUAUAGACUGAAGAGUAAACAUAACAUAUGCACUGGGAAACAAAAAUCAUUUGACUUCCUUUCUUGCGAUAUUGUGCUUUACUGUAGUGGUCUGGAACUGAAUCCACAGUAUCUCUGAGGUAUGCCUGUAAUCAAUGAGACAAAACAGACGAGAGAAGCAGACAUACAGGUGCCUAGAUAUUGGGGGUUUUAGACAAGGAUUUUGAUGUAUGGUUAAUAUGUUAAAAUACAGGAAAGAAUGGAAGAAAAAAACCAUUUCAACUAGUAAGAAGAAUCUAUAAGAAAGGCAAGUGGCUAUUCUAGAAUUGAAAAUACCAUAUCUGAAAUUAAGAAUUGAAUAGAUGGACUAAA